AUCGCAAGACCUCGCGCUAUUGGGGUGGCCGAUGGCAGAUUAGGUAGUUGGUGGGGUAAAGGCCUACCAAGCCGACGAUCUGUAGCUGGUCUGAGAGGACGACCAGCCACACUGGGACUGAGACACGGCCCAGACUCCUACGGGAGGCAGCAGUGGGGAAUUUUGGACAAUGGGCGCAAGCCUGAUCCAGCAAUGCCGCGUGUGUGAAGAAGGCCUUCGGGUUGUAAAGCACUUUUGUCCGGAAAGAAAUCCUCUGGGUUAAUACCCCGGGGGGAUGACGGUACCGGAAGAAUAAGCACCGGCUAACUACGUGCCAGCAGCCGCGGUAAUACGUAGGGUGCGAGCGUUAAUCGGAAUUACUGGGCGUAAAGCGUGCGCAGGCGGUGAUGUAAGACCGAUGUGAAAUCCCCGGGCUUAACCUGGGAACUGCAUUGGUGACUGCAUCGCUCGAGUAUGGCAGAGGGGGGUAGAAUUCCACGUGUAGCAGUGAAAUGCGUAGAGAUGUGGAGGAAUACCGAUGGCGAAGGCAGCCCCCUGGGUCAAUACUGACGCUCAUG
This 557-nucleotide ribosomal RNA is filed under the name Paraburkholderia sp. RNAcentral describes it as "bacterial SSU rRNA". It matches the Rfam family "Bacterial small subunit ribosomal RNA", at positions 202 to 751 of the family's 1533-position model. Lineage: Bacteria; Pseudomonadati; Pseudomonadota; Betaproteobacteria; Burkholderiales; Burkholderiaceae. The record is from RNAcentral.